RNAcentral lists this long non-coding RNA (244 nucleotides) under Gossypium barbadense (sea-island cotton). RNAcentral's name for it is "long non-coding RNA (GBAR_LNC011867)". Lineage: Eukaryota; Viridiplantae; Streptophyta; Magnoliopsida; Malvales; Malvaceae. The record is from RNAcentral.
AGAUAAGUGCAUAAGAAAAGGUUGAAAGAAAAAAGAGCUUUCUUAAGAUUAUGAGAAGAUAUUUAUAAACAAGGUUGAUUGCACUUAAACUUUGAUACUUGUCAUAAUCAACUCUUUAAGAAGGCGAUGAUGAACAUGAUGGAUUUAGCAAUCCAUAUGUGAUUGAACUGUGUCAACUUGAUGAAGUUCGAUAUGUUUUUUAUAUGAUGAUGAGGCUCAAUAUUUAUCUUUUACAAGGUGAAUU